RNAcentral lists this long non-coding RNA (2630 nucleotides) under Lupinus angustifolius (narrow-leaved blue lupine). Its description in RNAcentral is "long non-coding RNA (LANG_LNC002962)". Lineage: Eukaryota; Viridiplantae; Streptophyta; Magnoliopsida; Fabales; Fabaceae. The record is from RNAcentral.
UUCUAAAGUAAUUUACAUACAACCAGUACCCUCACAGUGGUUAUCCACUCUAGGAUGAUUAGUACAUUCAUAAGUCUCACAACACAAGGAACCUAAGCCACUUCGAUAUAGUGCAUUGACGCUAUUGCUAUGGCUAUUAAACAAUUCCAGCACCUGAUUCUCGCAGCUAAAAAAGAGGAUGGCAGUAAUAUUGUUUAUAUCAAAAGAGGAUGCCACAUUAAAAUGCUAAAACAUGGACAAGAGUUCCCAUCCCAUACUGGGUUACAUUUUCUAAAUAUUUCUCUAUGAGCAAGAAUAAAUAAUACUAAGAAACUUCAAAAGGUUCAACGCAUGAAUAUUACAUCAUUUUGUUCUUUUCCCACCAUAAGGCUACAAAUGCAAACUUAAGAUUGAAGGAAACCGCAUCCAGAUUCUAAUGAAGGGGAGUCACUUCAGCCUCGCAACCACAAGCGAAUCACGAACAAUUGAUCAAUACUGGACGUACAAGUUAUCUUCUAUGGCCAACUUCCAACUGCAAAAAAAAGGGGGAAAAAGAAAAGCAUAUGCACAAAACAAUAGAACAACACUAACAAGCUCAAAGCAGUUAAAUUAUGUUGAGGAUGAAACAAAUACACAAUCUGAUCCAGCUAUCCAAUAAUUCCCAAAUACGGUUAAGGGUCGUAAGUGCAUACCUACAACAAGCACUUAUAACUUUGUCAUCCUUAUGCUGAUACAGGAAUGUUGAGGAUCACUUGAAUAAACUCACUGCUCCAGAAUCUGCAUACGUUAUGGGACCUUAUUCAUUAAUAAAAAUGAUUAGUAAAACGUACAAAGAAUAAGAAAUGUUAAAUCAAUGAAUGAAGAGAACAAUCAGGAAGAAAUUCAAAGAGGCACAAUUAAAGUGUCAUUGGCAGCAAAAACACAUGGUAAAUAGCAGAGACAUCAAAGAAUGGAAUAUUCAGUUACAAACAGCCAUAAAUAAGGCAAUUAUUGAGCAAUUGAAACAGUGGUAAGCUGCCUGAGACCAACUCAGCAGACCCAGGAAUAUGUCAUCAGUUACGUGUGCAUUUAAUCCGCAUGAAUGAGUCAGUUUCUAAACACAAAAGUCAGUAUUAGUCCUGACUCUCAAUAGGCAACCCAGGAGACCCAGAAGGUUGGCUAUAAAAGGCAUACUAUGUCAUAAGCAGAACACACAGAGGUCCUACCAAAAAUAUUCAUAAGCUAUCUACCAUAAACACACAUAAGAAGAAAAAUAAAGAACGGAGAAAAUACUUGAGUAUUCAUAUUAACAUACCACACACCACAACACAGAGAAGUAAUCAGAGGUAACAACACAGCCAUAAGAAAAUCAGAGAGAAGACAAGAAAACCAGAAAAACAUACAUUGCAACGGGGGCCAAAAAAAAAGAGGAACAAUCAGCGAGAACAAUUAUCAUACACAGUCAGAGAGGAGAACACAUACAUAUCACACAUAUAUUGUGAAAUCAGCAUACCACAACCAUACACACCAUAUAACAACUAGAGAGCAAUCCCUGCAUAUACACAUAACAACUCAGAGAAUACGUAAUAUGCUGAAGUAGGCAGAAAUCAUAUAACACGUGCAUCACACAAAUUCAGGAAUAGAUACACACGGAGACGUUGCUCAGCAGAAUCAGAGGGAUAGUUCAGAGAUAAUACGGUAAAACGAUUCAGCCAAAUCGAAUUGCUACCUAAGGUUAGUAUUAAAAUCCAUAUUCGACUUCAUAAUUUUAAUGGAUUGGUGUGUUAAUGUCAUUAUUUUUUUACUGUUCCUGCACUUAAAAAAUCAGCAUACAACAUAUAUUUUAUGGUAUAAUGUCUCCUCUUGGUUGUAAUAGCCUUAUGCGACACUAUUGGCACACCCAAAUAUUAAAGUGACCUGCCCAUGUGUCCUUACGGAACCUCUUGUCUAACCAUUUGUCCCUGCCUCCUGGGUUACGUUUGUCUGACAUGUUACAGCUAAUUAUCAAUAGUUCGAAACUAAAAUAGUAAUCAAACAAGACUGUACAUCAUCAUUUUAAUAAUGCACAUAGGUUUGUGUAAUUAAAUCAGAAUGCGAUUAAACAAAAAAUGAGGUAGAUCGUUAAAGCGAUAAUAAUGGAAGCAAUGCAUCGCAGUGACCUUAAACCAAAAUAAUACAAUUCAUUUCCAGAUUAACAUCAACCCGUAUACGUUUUUUAUAUGCAUCUCAUCAAUCAAGAAUAACAUGCUAUAAAAGAAACGUAAAUAUCAAUAUGAGGGAUAUGGUCCCUUACCGAUUUCCCGCGGAUCUAUGAUUCCAUGAUUGAGGGAUAGGUCCCAAAACCUAAUCAAGCAUGUGAAGUGAUGUAAUGGGUCUCAGGGGCAUCGUGUUCCCUCUUGGACAGAGACUCAUCUUGUUGCAUUGUGAGAAGGGAAGCCUCGAAUCGGAAAGCCAUCGCAAACCACCACCGCUAUUGGACCACCGUGAACCACCAUAAACCGCCCCCAUCAGAACCUUCGGCUAUCACCGUGGAUCCCUCCAUUCCCACGUCUGGACCGUCGGCACCGAGGAAGAAGACGGAUUCCACCUAUUGGGCCACCGCGUGGGAGAAGAUGAGGAUGAGGGUUUUUCACCUCCUGGGAUUAAUCCCCAUUUCUCUUCCUUGUUUUUUU